Molecule: long non-coding RNA, 582 nt
Organism: Harpegnathos saltator (Jerdon's jumping ant)
Lineage: Eukaryota; Metazoa; Arthropoda; Insecta; Hymenoptera; Formicidae
Exons: 2
Source: RefSeq, a predicted model, not a curated record
GCUAAUCGACGGAUUCGACGAACUCGGUAGAGUUCGAAAAUAACCGAAAAACUGACAGUCGUCUCGUUGUUCACCUCGGCGAGGCAAACAGAGGCGAACAGAGAUCGCCUGUUUCGGCGGGCUUUGGAAUCCCGAUUAGAUCAAUUAGAGUUUGGUGAAAGUGACGAUGACAGAUUGCUUGAUGCGCGCACGAGAAAACGCUCGACGGUGCGAUAUGAUAAUGGUGUGACGAACAAUCUCGUUGAUGAUCACAAAAAGUCCUGCGUGCGUUGCCCACCAGACGUGCCUCGUCUAUAGUCUUCGCAUCUGAUUGUCUGACAGGACGAAGGUGACACACAGGUGAAGAAGGACACAACGUUCUUGCGAGGCGAUCGAUUUUGGAGUUUUCGCACUUGGGAUCGCGGCGGGAAGGCUCUCGCGAAGGAGCGAAACGGAUCAGAGGAGAGCACGACAAACCCCCGUCUCUUAUAGUUUUAUAUAUAAUUUACUGGAUAUACAUAUACUCUAAAGUGUGUGUACGUGUAUGUGUGUGGGUGGGUGGAUGAAUGAAUGUAUGCGUAUGUAUGUGUGUUCGUCGCGAUA